GGGGCUAUAGCUCAGCUGGGGAGAGCGCUUGCAUGGCAUGCAAGAGGUCAGCGGUUCGAUCCCGCUUAGCUCCA
This 74-nucleotide transfer RNA is filed under the name Kluyvera cryocrescens. It matches the Rfam family "tRNA". Rfam says of the family: Transfer RNA (tRNA) molecules are approximately 80 nucleotides in length. Their secondary structure includes four short double-helical elements and three loops (D, anti-codon, and T loops). Lineage: Bacteria; Pseudomonadati; Pseudomonadota; Gammaproteobacteria; Enterobacterales; Enterobacteriaceae. RNAcentral also lists the same sequence under 1 other name. The record is from Rfam by way of RNAcentral.